This 2553-nucleotide small RNA is filed under the name Pan troglodytes (chimpanzee). RNAcentral describes it as "retained intron". Lineage: Eukaryota; Metazoa; Chordata; Mammalia; Primates; Hominidae. The record is from RNAcentral.
AGAAAGGGGCUCCCACAGUGCAGUGGGGGGCUGAAGGGCUCCUCAAAUGCCACCAAAGUGGGAGCCCAGGCAGGGGAGGUGCCGAGAGCAAGCGAGGGCUCUGAGGACUGCCAGCAUGCUGUCACCUCUCAGCAGGCUGGAUUGGAUUUGGCACUUCUUUACUGAAGGCUGGAGUGCAAUGGUGUGAUCUCAGCUCAUCAAGUUCAAGAGACUCUAAUGCCUCAGCCUCCCAAGUAGCAGGGGUUACAGAUUCUUUAAUCUCCAGCUCAGCUCCAACAAUUCAACGCUGUUCUUUCUGAAAAAGUACACAUCGUGCCUUCUCUACUUCGCUCUUGGAACAUAAUUUCUCAUGGCAGGUAUGUGUGAUUUCAGUCACUAAAUUAAAAAUAACCAGAAAAGCUAUUUCUUGGAUUGGCUGAUUUUGGGGUAAUGCUUUAAGAGAAAAGGACAUGAUUAACAGUGGAUGUUUUUAGGAUUUUCAUGCAUUAGCACUUUCCACAUUCAUUAUAUUUUCCUGAUUCUUCAUUGUAUAACUUAGACAUGAUUUCAUGAAGUUUUUUUCACAGGUUUGAAGAGUGGUUUCUGACAGGGCUACCUUUAAAUUCUGAGUGAGAACUGAACUUUAGCCUGGUUAAAUUGUGAGCAACAGUGUUCUAGUAUAGCAAUAGAAAAUGCCAAAUAUUAAUGACACAAUGCUGAAAAGUUUUUAAUUGACUAUUUAUGUUGUGACAUCCAAAAAUUACACAAAUGAACAGUUUGACACAUUGUACUGUUGUUAAUGACAUCACUCUUCGAGAGUGUGUUCACGUUAGCACAGAAUCUCCUAAUGUUGAAAUGUUUUAGGUGAAAGGCCUAAAAGCAAAUAAUUUUGAGUAUGAACAAAUGGAAUGUUCUAGGGGAAAAAGGAUUGUUUAUGUAUGUUCAAUAUACUGUGAAAUGAAGCCAGGCCUCAAAGUUGUUACCCAUCAAUUUGUUAUCAGUUAUCACACCAAGUCCAGAAUGUUCCUAUGUCUUCUUUUCCCUAUAAUAUCUCUACGAACCAAUGAGCAGCUAGACAUUUAUCAGAGCAAAACCUGCACUGAGAUGAGGAGAGGGCAUACUCUCAAUUAGUAUUAUUGUGACAAUGGUAGAGUAUGUUGAAUGAAAGAUUCCUGAGCUAGACACACUUUCAUGUGAUUUCUGACUUGGAUACUUACUUGCUUUGAUACCUUGAGAAAAUAACAUUAUUAUUGGACCUUAUGUUUUCUCAUCUAUGUAAUGAGAACCAUACUAUCUAUCUUGUGAUUUUGUUGAGAGAAUAAAAAUAAAUGCCUGUUAUGUAAGUCCAUAAAACACAACGUGGUGCUUGUUAAUAUCUUCUACCUCCAGAUCUUUAAGCACCUCUGCCAAUUUAAAAUAAAUGGUAAAUUCACUUUACUGCAACAGAGCUGGUAGAGAAGAAAAUGUUUGAAUAAUCUUCCUGAAGAAUAAGAUACAUCACAUAAAAAUGUUGGUAUUGGGUGAAGUCCCGAUUGAAAAGUCUUCAGUGUUUUAUUGGCAAGAUGACUCCGUUAUCGAAUGAAAGAAUGUUGUGGAUUCUCCGUCACUAGUUUCUGCUUUUAAGAACUCAGCUCCUGAGUUUGCUCUUUAAGUCAUUACUCUGUCUGUCUUUCUCUACAGUGUUUAAGACCACUCUGUGGAGGUUAAUUUCUGGGACCUUAGGGAUAAUAUGCCUUUCGUUGAUGGCUACGUUGGGAAUUUUGUUGAAAAAUUGUAAGUUUUUCUAAGCAAGUCUCCAUAAAAAUCAAAACUGUGAAGACAUCAUUUAAUAAUAAAGGCUUCAUCUUGCUAAUGUGUAAUAUUUUAGUAUUUCAUAAACCCAUACCUAAUUAAACAAAUUUCUAAUCAUUUCUUAUAGCUUUUACUAAACUGAGUAUUGAGCCAGCAUUUACUCCAGGACCCAACAUAGAACUCCAGAAAGACUCUGACUGCUGUUCUUGCCAAGAAAAAUGGGUUGGGUACCGGUGCAACUGUUACUUCAUUUCCAGUGAACAGAAAACUUGGAACGAAAGUAGGCAUCUCUGUGCUUCUCAGAAAUCCAGCCUGCUUCAGCUUCAAAACACAGAUGAACUGGAUUUUAUGAGCUCCAGUCAACAAUUUUACUGGAUUGGACUCUCUUACAGUGAGGAGCACACCGCCUGGUUGUGGGAGAAUGGCUCUGCACUCUCCCAGUAUCUAUUUCCAUCAUUUGAAACUUUUAAUCCAAAGAACUGCAUAGCGUAUAAUCCAAAUGGAAAUGCUUUAGAUGAAUCCUGUGAAGAUAAAAAUCGUUAUAUCUGUAAGCAACAGCUCAUUUAAAUGUUUCUUGGGGCAGAGAAGGUGGAGAGUAAAGACCCAACAUUACUAACAAUGAUACAGUUGCAUGUUAUGUUAUUACUAAUUGUCUACUUCUGGAGUCUAUAAAAUGUUUUCAAACAGUGUCAUAUACAAUUGUCAUGCAUGUGAAACAAUGUGUUUUAAAACUGAUGAAAUUCGUUCACCUACAUUUGAGAAUUAUAAAAUUAAUAUAAAGAA